This 433-nucleotide ribosomal RNA is filed under the name uncultured bacterium. RNAcentral's name for it is "partial 16S ribosomal RNA". It matches the Rfam family "Bacterial small subunit ribosomal RNA", at positions 29 to 508 of the family's 1533-position model. The record is from RNAcentral.
AACGAACGCUGGCGGCAGGCCUAACACAUGCAAGUCGAGCGGACCCUUCGGGGUUAGCGGCGGACGGGUGAGUAACGCGUGGGAAUAUGCCCUUCUCUACGGAAUAGUCUUGGGAAACUGGGGGUAAUACCGUAUACGCCCUUUGGGGGAAAGAUUUAUCGGGGAAGGAUUAGCCCGCGUUGGAUUAGGUAGUUGGUGGGGUAAUGGCCUACCAAGCCGACGAUCCAUAGCUGGUUUGAGAGGAUGAUCAGCCACACUGGGACUGAGACACGGCCCAGACCCCCAGGGGGGGAAGGGGGGGGGAGUUUAAGAAAAGGGGGGCACCCCUAACAUCCCCAGCCGGUGGGAGGAAUGAGGGCUUUGGGGUUGAAAACCCCUUCCGGGGGGAAAGAAAAGGAGGGCCCCGGAAGAAGAGCCCCGGCCAACCCCGGGC